Molecule: ribosomal RNA, 552 nt
Filed under: uncultured Pseudoalteromonas sp.
Lineage: Bacteria; Pseudomonadati; Pseudomonadota; Gammaproteobacteria; Alteromonadales; Pseudoalteromonadaceae
Description: bacterial SSU rRNA
Rfam family: Bacterial small subunit ribosomal RNA
Source: RNAcentral
UUGGAAACGACUGCUAAUACCGCAUAACGUCUACGGACCAAAGGGGGCUUCGGCUCUCGCCCUUAGAUUAGCCCAAGUGGGAUUAGCUAGUUGGUGAGGUAAUGGCUCACCAAGGCGACGAUCCCUAGCUGGUUUGAGAGGAUGAUCAGCCACACUGGAACUGAGACACGGUCCAGACUCCUACGGGAGGCAGCAGUGGGGAAUAUUGCACAAUGGGCGCAAGCCUGAUGCAGCCAUGCCGCGUGUGUGAAGAAGGCCUUAGGGUUGUAAAGCACUUUCAGUAAGGAGGAAAGGUUAGUAGUUAAUACCUGCUAGCUGUGACGUUACUUACAGAAGAAGCACCGGCUAACUCCGUGCCGGCAGCCGCGGUAAUACGGAGGGUGCGAGCGUUAAUCGGAAUUACUGGGCGUAAAGCGUACGCAGGCGGUUUGUUAAAGCGAGAUGUGAAAGCCCCCGGGCUCACCCUGGGAACUGCAUUUCAAACUGGCAAACUAGAGUAUGAUUAAAGGGUGGUAAAAUUUUAGGUUGUACCGGGUGAAAUGCGUAAAAAAU